Molecule: ribosomal RNA, 464 nt
Filed under: Babesia occultans
Lineage: Eukaryota; Apicomplexa; Aconoidasida; Piroplasmida; Babesiidae
Description: SSU rRNA
Rfam family: Eukaryotic small subunit ribosomal RNA
Source: RNAcentral
GAAUUGGAAUGAUGGUGACUUAAACCCUCACCAGAGUACCAAUUGGAGGGCAAGUCUGGUGCCAGCAGCCGCGGUAAUUCCAGCUCCAAUAGCGUAUAUUAAACUUGUUGCAGUUAAAAAGCUCGUAGUUGAAUUUCAGCGUUUCGCGUGUGCCUCUUUUGGCCCAUCUCGUCUCGCUUUUUUUAUUACUUUGAGAAAAUUAGAGUGUUUCAAGCAGGCUUUUGUCUUGAAUACUUGAGCAUGGAAUAAUAGAGUAGGACCUUGGUUCUAUUUUGUUGGUUUUGUUACCUUGGUAAUGGUUAAUAGGAACGGUUGGGGGCAUUCGUAUUUAACUGUCAGAGGUGAAAUUCUUAGAUUUGUUAAAGACGAACUACUGCGAAAGCAUUUGCCAAGGACGUUUCCAUUAAUCAAGAACGAAAGUUAGGGGAUCGAAGACGAUCAGAUACCGUCGUAGUCCUAACCAU